RNAcentral lists this ribosomal RNA (253 nucleotides) under uncultured bacterium. RNAcentral's name for it is "partial 16S ribosomal RNA". It matches the Rfam family "Bacterial small subunit ribosomal RNA", at positions 524 to 776 of the family's 1533-position model. The record is from RNAcentral.
GACAGAGGGUGCAAACGUUGUUCGGAAUUACUGGGCGUAAAGGGCUCGUAGGCGGCCAACUAAGUCGGAUGUGAAAUCCCCAGGCUUAACCUGGGAACUGCAUCCGAUACUGGAUGGCUUGAAUCCGGGAGAGGGAUGCAGAAUUCCAGGUGUAGCGGUGAAAUGCGUAGAUAUCAGGAGGAACACCGGUGGCGAAGGCGGGUCUCUGGGCCGAUACUGACGCUGAGGAGCGAAAGCGUGGGGAGCGAACAGG